Non-coding RNA from Microcebus murinus (gray mouse lemur), 6213 nucleotides. The record is from RefSeq and is a predicted model, not a curated record. Lineage: Eukaryota; Metazoa; Chordata; Mammalia; Primates; Cheirogaleidae.
AGAGGCAGGGGGACCUCACGGUGGGUGGGGGAGCAUAAGGAGGUCUGACACUGGGGGCAACACCGCCCGGUGCCCAAGGUCGCGGGACAAGUGCACAGGAAGAGGGUGCGGUUCCCUAGAUGAGGGGGGCAGAGUGGGUGAGCUGAAAGAAACCGCUGGCGAUGGACCUUUCUGAGUCGUGGAUGAUACCACACACGCGUUAUCAGCGCAGCAACCAACACAAGAGUGUAUCUGCUCUCCUCAACUGGUCAACGUAACAUACGGGGUUUACACUUCGUCGUUUGUUCACACUCGCUGCGGGUCAGCAUGAAGGACAUACAAUCUUAUCAUGGAGACAAAGAAAAAGUCAAUGUGCCACUCCGGAGUCCAACAUAAAACCAAGAAGUUGAGAGAGUGUUCAACGGGUAACCUGCACGGUUGAUAUUUUGAUACUAUGUUUUUCUUGUGGCAAAGAUUGAGAUAUGAUUUUUUUUAUUCAGAGAAGCAAGAAGGCAGGCGAGUCAGCCAAAUUGCCCAAGAGACAGAUGCCCCUCUUUUGCAACAGAGGAAGAAAAUCAGUCUUGCCUAUGCUGAGAACAUCACAAAAAUAAUGAAGCCCUGAUUCCAUGUAAGCCAUUAAAGUAUUUCGACCUGCACUUUCUGUCACCAAUCCUGGUUUGUCAUCCGGGUGGUUAGGGCCCUUUUGGCUGCGUGCUAAGCAGUGUCUGCUGGUUCCCUGUCUGACAACUUCCUGUGCAGUUAACUGACUUCAUCAUCUUCACUUACACGUUCUUCUCCUCUAACGCCAACUUCUAGACCUGACUUGAUUCCUCUACCAAUUACGAAGUAAAGAAUCUCUAAAUCAGCCUGUGACUUAUAUGUCCCUGCCUUGAAAGAAUUUCUCCUUUUUGGGCGAAAGCAAUGUACAUGUUUCAUACAAAUAUUCAUGCCUUUGGCUGGAAUUGCUGCCUGCUGAAAAUGUAUAAAAGCAAACAAUAAUCCAACUACCUCCAGUCCACUUACUCAACGCUUCUUGCGUUUGUGUUUUCCCUGGGCCACCGUCAGUCCCACGGAAGGAAAAUAAACCUCUUGAAACUAUUUCACACAGUUUCAUUUUUCCACUGACAUUGAAGGACUGCUGGACAGAGGCAAAGUGAAGUCCAGCAACUGUGUUUGAAAAUGAGGUUAUUCGCUGGAGUCCUAUAGAUGCCCUACACGACUCACAGAGUCCCCAGCACCUUCUGCCACUCUCGGUGCAAAUGACAGUUCGGGACAUUUGUUUUCCUUUUGUGAUGGUUUCAGUGUCAAUAGGGAGUGUGGCUCUUUCUUGUCAUCCCCUUCAUUGCUCGCUCUCCAAAGUGCAAAGCCCUGGCUCUGCUGCCUGGUGCAGGCUGUCACGGUCUCACACCCACCAGGCACUCGAGUCACCAGGCAGCCCUCUUGACAGGUCCAAGCCUCACCCUGGAGCCCCUCAUUUCACUUGAAAAGUUUCUUCCAGCAAAAGGACAAAAGGGGAAGUGCUUGUUAAUCUUGAAGGUAAAACGGUGGAAGAAAAUGUUUUUCCUUCCUCUCUCUCCUUAGUUUUUCUAACACAGAGAGUUACUGUGAAAUAUUUGGUCUCUUUGAGUCUAAGGGCAGAAAGUCUGUUUUGUUUGGCUAAUUUGAAAGCCACUUAACAGUGUUCAACACUCUACGCCAAAAGCCUCACGCCGAGGACCACAUCACUGCAGUGAAAGUAACAGUGAACACCAAGGACCCUUUCCACACACGGACGUUGGGGAAUCUGAUCUCAGCCGUGGGAUCCCAGCCCAAAGGGUUUCCUCAAGGGAUGACUCCCCGGAGAACUUGCUAUCUGGAAGCUUCUGCCAGCUGUCUGGCUCGGGAGAGUGUGGCACAGGACUGUGUCCUUCCCAAGGCAGUCAAAGGCAAACACUCAGAGUCUUUUCAGAGCCCUUCCCUAUGCUCCCCUUUGACUCCCUCACAUGCCUGCUCAGUGUGUUGGUGCUAAGGAGGGCUACUGGGGCUUUCCUUUUGUCAUGUGGAUGUGGCUGUUUCUUGUUACUGUGAUAGUCCUCAAUGUGGGCAGUCCUUGCCCAGGUUGGUCCCGUCAGGAUGACAAUGGCAAGGCUCCAGGAGCGGAUCCCCGACUGGGAACUGCUUCUCCAGGGUCACCGGUCCCCCAGCUCAUGAAAGGAGUUUGUGUAGGUGCCCACAUGGGAUCCUGGAGCGGGGACGAGGGGUUUGGGGAGAGUAGAAUCCAGCCGGGGGUCAGAGUGGGGAAAGCAAGACGAGAAGAAGGAAGGGAGUAUAAAUACCACAGAGGUGGAUGGCGGCUGAGCCAGCGGUUGUGAGGCCAUUCAAGAUGGGACCUCCAUUUUAUCUUGCUGGUUUCUGAGCAGACAUGCUUCCAUGACAGCAGCCUGGAAACAGAGUGGCAAAGGAGGGUGAGUGACAAGGAGGGUGGAGGCAGGGCUGUUUGCAGAGUGAGUGCCAGGCUCUUCCAGUGACCAGCUCCAACCAGGGUGAGACGUGGGCAGCUGCCCAUUCACCUGGCCUGUCCUUGGCAGUGGCAGCAGUGCAGGGCUAGGCUGCAGACAGAGAGAGUCACAUGUCACCCACAGCUCCCAGGGGCUCUUAGAACCUAGAGGACAAGGUCGCAAUGCUGGGGGUGUCACCAGGGCCGGGAGCCAAUUAGUGAGAUGUGGGCCCAGAGAGUGUCUGAUUGGUUGUCAGCAGGCAGGAAGGAGAGGCGGGGACAUGAGAAGGCUGGGGUGUGGGGGCUGGGGUGAGGAAGGAAUGCCGGGUGGAUGUUGGAGUAUGGAGAAUCCAGUUCAGAGAUACCAUGAAGCAGGGAGAGGAAUGGGAGCCCAGGUCCUAGAUAAUUCAAGUGGACUCCAGGUAGGGGUACCUCUGAGGGCACAGAGCUUUCCACACAGAGUUUUCCUGCUUCACACAUCAAAGGGCUGUGAUAGCAUUAUGAGCCAGGAAGCUUCUGGCCCAGCAGCCUGUGGAGUUUCUCCUUUUCCUCCAAAGACUGGUUAGAAGUGAAAUCAGCCAGGUCUCACAAACUGUGCAUUCCGUGAACAUGGAUGUGUUUGUCCUGCUGGAAAGUCUUUUCUCCAUCAGAAUCACGUGGCACGCUGCUCCCGCUGCGACCUGCAAAGGGGUUGAGGGUGUUCUGGGGGCCACCAGGUAGCGUGCCACGUGAUCCCAUGGGCUUAUCUGGAGGGCUGCCCUGGGUUUAGGUUCCCACGUGACCCAGGUGUUGCUUUAUCCCAUCGGAGGCUGGAAUUCGCAUGUUGGACUUUGCUUGGUGAGGCUACAGAACCACAGCUUUGUAGGCUGCACGUCUCCAGAUGAUCCUCCAAAGGCCUGUAAGUCCCACACACCAGGAGGGAACUGUGAAUGCACUGGCACACUCUGCUGCCUCCCCUCUUGGUGAUCACUGGGUUUUCUCUGGGCCUCCCCUUUGGGUUUCAUCCCCACCACCCAACACCACUUCCUCCCGGCUUCUUUACCCCACCUGCGUCCUCCAGGGGCCAGAAUGCCCUGCUCCUGUUUGGGAUAGCUUCCUCCACCUCAAGUAAGGAAAGCUGUCUUCCAAACUCCAGGGUGAGCAUCGCUUCCAGGUCCAGCUUCCCUUCUCAGGCAGGGGGUUCUGUCAUCCCCGGGGGCUCCUGAGUUCAGAAUUUCAGCCUUUGGCAGGCCUCUCUCCCUUUGAGUCAACCCCUCGUGGACUGCAGCCCCUCAGCACCUAGGCCCCCAUGGACACCUCUUCCAUCCCAUGCUUGAGCUCUUCCCACUCUGAGACCUUUCCCCUCCUCUAGGUCCCAGUCUCAGAAGCUGAAGCCAAGAGGAAAUACAUGGAAGCCACCACAGAUCCAGACCAUAGGGCUACGAUGCAUUUUGUAAUCAUUCUGUUUAUUUGCUCACACACUAGUCAGCCUUCUCAGAACGCCAGUCACAAUGGGCCAAACAGGAGGAAAUGCAAGAGCAUGGGACACAUUUUCCAGCCACUGGAUGAUAUUAUGCCAGAAAAAUCACCGUCACCCAUCAUCCACCACCAUUGUCAUUUGACCACACUUGAUCUCCCAUGAGUCCUUAAACCACAAUCACAUCUUUGGUUUCUGAAACAUCUUCUUUGGAAAGGUAUAUGACAUGCAUACAGUUUUUGUUGCUUAUUGAUUUAUGAGGUACAGGUGUAGUUUGUCACAUGGCUAUGUUGGGUAUCGGUGGCAUCAAGGCUUUUGGUGAAUCCAUCAUCUGAAUGACAUGCAUUGUACCCAUUACGUCAUUUCUCUUCUUUCACCCCCCAGGCUCCCCACCCUUCCAAGUCUCCAAUGUCCGUCAUUCCACACUCUGUGUCCAUACCUCAAGCCAUCCUCCCACCUUGGCUUCCCAAAGUGCUAGGAUGACAGGCGUGAGCCACCACGCCCGGCCUGAUUUUUUUAUACGGUCACAAACAGGAGUCGGGUUUGAUUCUUCUGCACGUGGGAAUCAAAUGUACCCAGCGUCCUUUGCUGAAAAGGCUAUGUUUUUGCCCAGAGUACGUUUUUGCUGACUUUGUCCAAGAUCAGUUGGCUGUAGAUGUGAGGCUGUAUUUCUGGGUUCUCUAUUCUAUCCCAGAAUAGAAACGUCUGUGUCUAUUUUUCCACCAGUACGAUAAUGUCGUCAUCAUCAUUAGAGCCCCGUAGAAUAGGCAUGUCAUUUCUCAAAGAUCGAAAAAUCAGGUCAUGUACAACUGGCAAGCCUUUCUUCAGGCACCACAGAACUAUCUUCUUCAACAAAAGAAAUGUAAACAUCUCCUUGAAGGAAGAGUUCGGCCCGUUUCCAGGACAUGUCAUGAAUUCCUCUCCUAGAUACAUGCUUCUCAAGUACAGGACACAUGAAGCCACAGCAUCCAUCAUCAGUUCCAUGGCUUUCUCUUUCAAGAGCAAAAUCAAGGAAUCCUUGCACAACAUGCUGAGCGCGCCGUCUAGCUGCAGUAGCCUGGAGGGUCUUCACACAGGCAGAGGCAUCCUUUUAUACAAGUUUCAGGAGUGCCGUCCCCUGACCCCACCCACACACCCUGAGGCUCUCUGGAGCUCAGCCAAUCAGCUUUUGCCAAGUCAUCACCAGCUCAGCCAAUCACCUUGUGCCAAUUCAUCACCAGCUCAGCCAAUCAGCUUCUCUCAAGUCAUCAACAUCUCAACCAAUCAGCUUCUGCAAUCAUCCACUGCUCCACCAAUUAGCUUCCACCAAGGCAUCAAACCCUACCGGCUCAGACAGCAGGCUCCUCCCAUGUCUCCAAGCCCCUCGCAGCUUCAGUGCUUCGCUCUCACUGAACGCUGGACUGAAAGUCUCAAAUCGUUCAGAAUUCGGCUCCUGUGAGGUGGAAGCACCUGGAAUUGCACUGGUGAAGUUGACACCCACAUCGUUGGUGUUUUGAGUGCUUCGUCUUUCCCACAAAAAACAGCGAGAUAUGUUGUUAUUUGACAAAAGCAACAAAGUCCAGAAUUCAGCUGAACAUCUGAGGAAACCACCAAAGUAAUGGAAACGUAGAAAAACAGUAUUUACCAUUUCUAUCUCCUGUGUUGAAUUGUUGCAUGUUUCUUGUUUGGGGCAGCAAGAAGGAGAUACUGUCUUUUUCAAGUGCAAACAUACACACACACAAACAUAAUGUCAGUCUGCCUCUCCUGAGAUGAAAGCUCAAAACAACAGAGCCAAGACAAGGUUAAACGGGCAAAGUGAAUUGUUGAUGUGUUGAGUAAUUUGUUUUUCCUCACCAAAGAUGCAAUUGCAGUUUUAUUUUCAUAUAUAUAUAUAUAUACACAACAACAAAGCUGUGAACUCACCAUGCUCAGAUGAAACCGUGAAAAAGACUAAAGCAGAAAAACAUGAUUUAACUGCUUAAAUCUUUUAGAUUUCCUGUGGUGACUUGUGUGUUUCUUGUUCAGGGCAGCAAGAAGGAUAUACAUUAUUUUCACAGAGAAGAAGAAAAACAGUCAGUCUGCCUCUCUUGAUUCAAACGUUCAAGAGAAGAAAGCUGAGGGAAGGUUGCACGAAAAAGCUGCCUUGUGUACGGGUUGAGGAAGUCGUUUUUCUUCACCAAAAUCGACUUGCCGGGUUAUGUGUGUAUAUAUAGAACAGCCACAGAGAGGCAAAGUUAGCAAUGCUCGAAGAAACCACGAAAAAAUGGUAAAGCAGAAAAACACGACUGAACUUCUUAUAUCUUUUAGAUUUCUUGUAUUGACG